GGCGAACGGGUGAGUAACACGUGGGCAAUCUGCCCUUCACUCUGGGACAAGCCCUGGAAACGGGGUCUAAUACCGGAUAACACUCCCUCCCUCCUGGGUGGGGGUUAAAAGCUCCGGCGGUGAAGGAUGAGCCCGCGGCCUAUCAGCUUGUUGGUGAGGUAAUGGCUCACCAAGGCGACGACGGGUAGCCGGCCUGAGAGGGCGACCGGCCACACUGGGACUGAGACACGGCCCAGACUCCUACGGGAGGCAGCAGUGGGGAAUAUUGCACAAUGGGCGAAAGCCUGAUGCAGCGACGCCGCGUGAGGGAUGACGGCCUUCGGGUUGUAAACCUCUUUCAGCAGGGAAGAAGCGAAAGUGACGGUACCUGCAGAAGAAGCGCCGGCUAACUACGUGCCAGCAGCCGCGGUAAUACGUAGGGCGCAAGCGUUGUCCGGAAUUAUUGGGCGUAAAGAGCUCGUAGGCGGCUUGUCACGUCGGGUGUGAAAGCCCGGGGCUUAACCCCGGGUCUGCAUUCGAUACGGGCUAGCUAGAGUGUGGUAGGGGAGAUCGGAAUUCCUGGUGUAGCGGUGAAAUGCGCAGAUAUCAGGAGGAACACCGGUGGCGAAGGCGGAUCUCUGGGCCAUUACUGACGCUGAGGAGCGAAAGCGUGGGGAGCGAACAGGAUUAGAUACCCUGGUAGUCCACGCCGUAAACGGUGGGAACUAGGUGUUGGCGACAUUCCACGUCGUCGGUGCCGCAGCUAACGCAUUAAGUUCCCCGCCUGGGGAGUACGGCCGCAAGGCUAAAACUCAAAGGAAUU
Molecule: ribosomal RNA, 802 nt
Filed under: Streptomyces sp. K29T
Lineage: Bacteria; Bacillati; Actinomycetota; Actinomycetes; Kitasatosporales; Streptomycetaceae
Description: bacterial SSU rRNA
Rfam family: Bacterial small subunit ribosomal RNA
Source: RNAcentral